GGUCUGCAGGGUCUUGAACUCGUCCGCUUCUGGCCCCAUAAUACUGAACAUGGUCGUAAUCCCGGCGAACCGGAGGCAUUCUGGACGCGGGUUCGAUUCCCGCCACCUCCACCACUACGGGGGUGUACUGGCUUCGACAGGGUGAAGCAAGGCAAGCAGGCGACCCGAGAGGCGACGGACGUAAUCCGCGCAAAUCAAUAAACGCCAACGAUGAGCGUUUCGCACUGGCCGCUUGAGGCCUGCUGAGGACAUAGCCUUCCGAUAAACAGAAUGGCUAUCGACGGGGGCUUCGGCCCCCGUCGCU
RNAcentral lists this transfer-messenger RNA (304 nucleotides) under Accumulibacter sp. It matches the Rfam family "Betaproteobacteria transfer-messenger RNA". Rfam says of the family: Bacterial tmRNA, also known as 10Sa RNA or SsrA, is named for its dual tRNA and mRNA-like properties. Its role is to liberate the mRNA from a stalled ribosome. The record is from RNAcentral. Lineage: Bacteria; Pseudomonadati; Pseudomonadota; Betaproteobacteria.